GAUGAACGCUGGCGGCGUGCCUAAUACAUGCAAGUCGAGCGAACAGACGAGGAGCUUGCUCCUCUGACGUUAGCGGCGGACGGGUGAGUAACACGUGGAGAACCUACCUAUAAGACUGGGAUAACUUCGGGAAACCGGAGCUAAUACCGGAGAAUAUAUUGAACCGCAUGGUUCAAUAGGGAAAGACGGUUUUGCUGUCACUUAUAGAUGGAUCCGCGCCGCAGUAGCUAGUUGGUAAGGUAAUGGCUUACCAAGGCGACGAUGCGUAGCCGACCUGAGAGGGUGAUCGGCCACACUGGAACUGAGACACGGUCCAGACUCCUACGGGAGGCAGCAGUAGGGAAUCUUCCGCAAUGGGCGAAAGCCUGACGGAGCAACGCCGCGUGAGUGCUGAAGGUCUUCGGAUCGUAAAACUCUGUUAUUAGGGAAGAACAAAUGUGUAAGUAACUAUGCACGUCUUGACGGUACCUAAUCAGAAAGCCACGGCUAACUACGUG
Molecule: ribosomal RNA, 497 nt
Filed under: uncultured bacterium
Lineage: Bacteria
Description: partial 16S ribosomal RNA
Rfam family: Bacterial small subunit ribosomal RNA
Source: RNAcentral